UACGUAGGGACCAAGCGUUGUUCGGAUUUACUGGGCGUAAAGGGCGCGUAGGCGGCCACCGCAAGUCGACUGUGAAAUCUCCGGGCUUAACCCGAAAGGUCAGCCGAUACUGCGGGGCUAGAGUGCAGAAGGGGCAACUGGAAUUCUCGGUGUAGCGGUGAAAUGCGUAGAUAUCGAGAGGAACACCUGCGGCGAAGGCGGGUUGCUGGGCUGACACUGACGCUGAGGCGCGAAAGCUAGGGGAGCGAACGGG
Molecule: ribosomal RNA, 253 nt
Filed under: uncultured bacterium
Lineage: Bacteria
Description: partial 16S ribosomal RNA
Rfam family: Bacterial small subunit ribosomal RNA
Source: RNAcentral